AUUGAACGCUGGCGGCAUGCCUUACACAUGCAAGUCGAACGGUAACAGGGAGCUUGCUCCGCUGACGAGUGGCGAACGGGUGAGUAAUGUAUCGGAACGUACCUUUCAGUGGGGGAUAACGUAGCGAAAGUUACGCUAAUACCGCAUAUUCUGUGAGCAGGAAAGCAGGGGACCUUCGGGCCUUGCGCUGAUUGAGCGGCUGAUAUCAGAUUAGCUAGUUGGUGAGGUAAAGGCUCACCAAGGCGACGAUCUGUAGCGGGUCUGAGAGGAUGAUCCGCCACACUGGAACUGAGACACGGUCCAGACUCCUACGGGAGGCAGCAGUGGGGAAUUUUGGACAAUGGGGCAACCCUGAUCCAGCCAUGCCGCGUGAGUGAAGAAGG
This 383-nucleotide ribosomal RNA is filed under the name uncultured bacterium. RNAcentral's name for it is "bacterial SSU rRNA". It matches the Rfam family "Bacterial small subunit ribosomal RNA", at positions 30 to 414 of the family's 1533-position model. The record is from RNAcentral.